This 261-nucleotide long non-coding RNA is filed under the name Vigna radiata. RNAcentral describes it as "long non-coding RNA (VRAD_LNC017073)". The record is from RNAcentral. Lineage: Eukaryota; Viridiplantae; Streptophyta; Magnoliopsida; Fabales; Fabaceae.
UGGGGCAGUGAAAACUUGAGUUUGGAGUUCUGUGUGCAAAGGGUUAGUUUAGGUAGUCUAGGUAAGUCAUUUGGGACUUGGUAAAGUCUCUAAGUUUCUUGGAAUUGUGCCACAAAUGGUUUAAUUCAAUUUGGGUAUCUAAGUUGAGUUUUUGGGUGAAAUUUUGAGUUUUCUUGUUUAGAUUUAGGUUAUGAGUGUUUAGACAACAUUGGAUAAGUAUAAGUAAGUAUAUGACACAAUCUAGGAGGGUUAGAAGUUGGG